Molecule: long non-coding RNA, 487 nt
Organism: Dermacentor andersoni
Lineage: Eukaryota; Metazoa; Arthropoda; Arachnida; Ixodida; Ixodidae
Source: RefSeq, a predicted model, not a curated record
CAGACCGGGCGACGAUGUUUCGUGUGUUGCAAUACGCGGUGGAUGUCGCGCACUCGACCGGAGUGGCGCGAUGUUGUUGGUGGUGUACACCGUGUGCCUGAUGUCUCCAAUAGGGCAAACACAAAUGUUGCCAGUGAUGCGGGGACAAUUGUGAAUACGGUAUACUUGCGUUCGGGCGUCGAACAAAUACGGUGAGGAAGCGGCUGCGACCACUAUACGUUUAUGACAGCCGGGGAAACAUCGCGUGUGCAUUGCAGCUGGUCUUGCAAUGGGAAAACGAAUGCAAGGGCUAAAGACGUUCUCCUGCCAAGAGUUCACGGAACAAAUGACCUUGGAGUGUACUUCGAUAGCUCUCCGAAUUUCUCGCCCCACGCUCAACAGACGAGGCAGCGUGCACUUCGAACGCUCGGCACAGUAUGUCGGGUGACGAGAGACUUCAAACAACCUGGGCCAUUUGUAACUUCAAUAUAAAAGCGUAUGCCUUCCA